RNAcentral lists this ribosomal RNA (352 nucleotides) under uncultured bacterium. RNAcentral describes it as "bacterial SSU rRNA". It matches the Rfam family "Bacterial small subunit ribosomal RNA", at positions 976 to 1326 of the family's 1533-position model. The record is from RNAcentral.
UAGCCUUGACAUUGAUAGAACGGACCAGAGAUGGACCGGUGCCCUUCGGGGAGCUUGAAAACAGGUGCUGCACGGCUGUCGUCAGCUCGUGUCGUGAGAUGUUGGGUUAAGUCCCGCAACGAGCGCAACCCUCGUCCUUAGUUGCCAGCAGGUUAAGCUGGGCACUCUAAGGAGACUGCCUUCGUAAGGAGGAGGAAGGUGAGGACGACGUCAAGUCAUCAUGGCCCUUAUGGCUAGGGCUACACACGUGCUACAAUGGGGCGUACAGAGAGUUGCGAUACCGCGAGGUGGAGCCAAUCUCAUAAAGCGUCUCUCAGUUCGGAUUGAAGUCUGCAACUCGACUUCAUGAAGC